GACGAACGCUGGCGGCGUGCUUAACACAUGCAAGUCGAACGCUGAAGCUUGGUGCUUGCACUGGGUGGAUGAGUGGCGAACGGGUGAGUAAUACGUGAGUAACCUGCCCUUGACUCUGGGAUAAGCCUGGGAAGCUGGGUCUAAUACUGGAUACGACAUGUCACCGCAUGGUGGUGUGUGGAAAGGGUUUUACUGGUUUUGGAUGGGCUCACGGCCUAUCAGCUUGUUGGUGGGGUAAUGGCUCACCAAGGCGACGACGGGUAGCCGGCCUGAGAGGGUGACCGGCCACACUGGGGCUGAGACACGGCCCAGACUCCUACGGGAGGCAGCAGUGGGGAAUAUUGCACAAUGGGCGGAAGCCUGAUGCAGCGACGCCGCGUGAGGGAUGACGGCCUUCGGGUUGUAAACCUCUUUCAGCACGGAAGAAGCGAAAGUGACGGUACGUGCAGAAGAAGCGCCGGCUAACUACGUG
RNAcentral lists this ribosomal RNA (472 nucleotides) under uncultured bacterium. RNAcentral describes it as "partial 16S ribosomal RNA". It matches the Rfam family "Bacterial small subunit ribosomal RNA", at positions 28 to 507 of the family's 1533-position model. The record is from RNAcentral.